GUAGCUCAGUCGGAUAGAGUAUCGGUUUCCGAAACCGAAGGUCAUGGGUUCAAUUCCCAUC
RNAcentral lists this transfer RNA (61 nucleotides) under bovine gut metagenome. It matches the Rfam family "tRNA", at positions 7 to 64 of the family's 71-position model. From Rfam's summary of the family: Transfer RNA (tRNA) molecules are approximately 80 nucleotides in length. The record is from RNAcentral.